GAUUCGNAUGGGGGGACCCUGACGCAGCAACUCCGCGUGAGUGAAGAAGGCCCUCGGGUUNNCAAGCUCUGUCAGAGCUGAAGAAACUACUUCGGGUAAAUAGCCCGUGGUACUGACGGUAAGCUCAAAGGAAGCACCGGCUAACUCCGUGCCAGCAGCCGCGGUAAUACGGAGGGUGCAAGCGUUGUUCGGAUUUAUUGGGCGUAAAGAGCGUGUAGGCGGUUCUGCAAGUCAGGUGUGAAAUCCCGGGGCUUAACCCCGGAACUGCGCCUGAAACUGCAGGACUUGAGUACGGGAGAGGUAGGUGGAAUUCCUGGUGUAGAGGUGAAAUUCGUAGAUAUCAGGAGGAACACCCGUGGCGAAAGCGACCUACUGGACCGAUACUGACGCUGAGACGCGAAAGCGUGGGGAGCAAACAGGAUUAGAUACCCUGGUAGUCCACGCUGUAAACGUUGGGCACUAGGUGUUGCGGGUGUUGACCCCUGCAGUGCCGAAGCAAACGCAUUAAGUGCCCCGCCUGGGGAGUACGGCCGCAAGGCUAAAACUCAAAAAAAUUGACGGA
This 562-nucleotide ribosomal RNA is filed under the name uncultured bacterium. Its description in RNAcentral is "bacterial SSU rRNA". It matches the Rfam family "Bacterial small subunit ribosomal RNA", at positions 359 to 917 of the family's 1533-position model. The record is from RNAcentral.